RNAcentral lists this ribosomal RNA (466 nucleotides) under uncultured bacterium. RNAcentral's name for it is "partial 16S ribosomal RNA". It matches the Rfam family "Bacterial small subunit ribosomal RNA", at positions 28 to 506 of the family's 1533-position model. The record is from RNAcentral.
GACGAACGCUGGCGGCGUGCUUAACACAUGCAAGUCGAACGGAAAGGCUCCAGCUUGCUGGAGUACUCGAGUGGCGAACGGGUGAGUAACACGUGGGUAAUCUGCCCUGCACUCUGGGAUAAGCCUGGGAAACUGGGUCUAAUACUGGAUAUGACCUUUCUCCUUAUGGGGUUUGGUGGAAAGUUUUUCGGUGUAGGAUGAGCCCGCGGCCUAUCAGCUUGUUGGUGGGGUGAUGGCCUACCAAGGCGACGACGGGUAGCCGGCCUGAGAGGGUGAUCGGCCACAUGGGGACGGAGAUACGGCCCAGACUCCUACGGGAGGCAGCAGUGGGGAAUAUUGCACAAUGGGCGGAAGCCUGAUGCAGCGACGCCGCGUGAGGGAGGACGGCCUUCGGGUUGUAAACCUCUUUCAGCAGGGACGAAGCGUAAGUGACGGGACCUGCAGAAGAAGCACCGGCUAACUAUGU